AGUGAACGCUGGCGGUAGGCCUAACACAUGCAAGUCGAACGGCAGCACAGUAAGAGCUUGCUCUUACGGGUGGCGAGUGGCGGACGGGUGAGGAAUACAUCGGAAUCUACUUUUUCGUGGGGGAUAACGUAGGGAAACUUACGCUAAUACCGCAUACGACCUACGGGUGAAAGCAGGGGAUCUUCGGACCUUGCGCGAUUGAAUGAGCCGAUGUCGGAUUAGCUAGUUGGCGGGGUAAAGGCCCACCAAGGCGACGAUCCGUAGCUGGUCUGAGAGGAUGAUCAGCCACACUGGAACUGAGACACGGUCCAGACUCCUACGGGAGGCAGCAGUGGGGAAUAUUAGACAAUGGGCGCAAGCCUGAUCCAGCCAUACCGCGUGGGUGAAGAAGGCCUUCGGGUUGUAAAGCCCUUUUGUUGGGAAAGGAAAGCAGCAGGUUAAUACCCCGCUGUUCUGACGGUACCCAAAGAAUAAGCACCGGCUAACUUCGUG
This 492-nucleotide ribosomal RNA is filed under the name uncultured bacterium. Its description in RNAcentral is "partial 16S ribosomal RNA". It matches the Rfam family "Bacterial small subunit ribosomal RNA", at positions 29 to 507 of the family's 1533-position model. The record is from RNAcentral.